AUUGAACGCUGGCGGCAUGCCUAACACAUGCAAGUCGAACGGCCGCACGUCAUUCGGGGUCCCGGCGAGUGGCGAACGGGCGGGUAAUGCAUCGGUACGUAACCGGCCGAGGGGGAUAAGCGGCCGACAGGCUGCCACAUACCGCAUGAACUCGGAAGAGCAAAGUGGGGGAGCAUAGGGCCUCGUGCGCUUGGCCCGGCCGAUGUGCGGUUUAGCUAGUUGGUGGGGUAAAGGCUUACCAAGGCGACGAUCGGUAGCAGGUCUGAGAGGAUGAUCCGCCACACUGGGACUGAGACACGGCCCAGACUCCUACGGGAGGCAGCAGUGGGGAAUCUUGGACAAUGGGCGCAAGCCUGAUGCAGCAACGCCGCGUGGGUGAAGAAGGUCUUCGGGUUGUAAAGCCCUUUUGUCGGGGAAGAAAACGAGCAGGCGAAUAUUCCGGCCGGAUGACGGUACCCAAAGAAGAAGCACCGGCUAACUACGUG
RNAcentral lists this ribosomal RNA (485 nucleotides) under uncultured bacterium. RNAcentral describes it as "partial 16S ribosomal RNA". It matches the Rfam family "Bacterial small subunit ribosomal RNA", at positions 29 to 507 of the family's 1533-position model. The record is from RNAcentral.